This 254-nucleotide ribosomal RNA is filed under the name uncultured bacterium. RNAcentral's name for it is "partial 16S ribosomal RNA". It matches the Rfam family "Bacterial small subunit ribosomal RNA", at positions 524 to 776 of the family's 1533-position model. The record is from RNAcentral.
UACAGAGGUCUCAAGCGUUGUUCGGAUUCAUUGGGCGUAAAGGGUGCGUAGGCGGCGCGGUAAGUCGGGUGUGAAAUCUCGGAGCUUAACUCCGAAACUGCAUUCGAUACUGCCGUGCUUGAGGACUGGAGAGGAGACUGGAAUUUACGGUGUAGCUGGUGAAAUGCGUAGAUAUCGUAAGGAAGACCAGUGGCGAAGGCGGGUCUCUGGACAGUUCCUGACGCUGAGGCACGAAGGCCAGGGGAGCAAACGGG